This 253-nucleotide ribosomal RNA is filed under the name uncultured bacterium. RNAcentral describes it as "partial 16S ribosomal RNA". It matches the Rfam family "Bacterial small subunit ribosomal RNA", at positions 524 to 776 of the family's 1533-position model. The record is from RNAcentral.
UACGGAGGGUGCAAGCGUUAAUCGGAAUUACUGGGCGUAAAGCGCGCGUAGGCGGCUUGGUAAGUCGGAUGUGAAAGCCCCGGGCUCAACCUGGGAACUGCAUUCGAUACUGCCGGGCUGGAGUACGAGAGAGGGGGGUGGAAUUCCAGGUGUAGCGGUGAAAUGCGUAGAGAUCUGGAGGAACACCAGUGGCGAAGGCGGCCCCCUGGUUCGAUACUGACGCUGAGGUGCGAAAGCGUGGGGAGUAAACAGG